AGAGUUUGAUCCUGGCUCAGGAUGAACGCUAGCGGCAGGCUUAAUACAUGCAAGUCGUGGGGCAGCAUGACUGUAGCAAUACAGUUGAUGGCGACCGGCAAACGGGUGCGGAACACGUACACAACCUUCCUUUUAGUGGGGAAUAGCCCGGGGAAACCCGGAUUAAUACCCCGUAACAUAAUGAAGUGGCAUCACUUUAUUAUUAUAGCAGCAAUGCGCUUUAAGAUGGGUGUGCGACUGAUUAGGCAGUUGGCGGGGUAACGGCCCACCAAACCUACGAUCAGUAACUGGUGUGAGAGCACGACCAGUCACACGGGCACUGAGACACGGGCCCGACUCCUACGGGAGGCAGCAGUAAGGAAUAUUGGUCAAUGGACGCAAGUCUGAACCAGCCAUGCCGCGUGGAGGAUGAAGGUCCUCUGGAUUGUAAACUUCUUUUAUCUGGGAAGAAAUCCACGAAUUCUUUUGUGGUUGACGGUACCAGAUGAAUAAGCACCGGCUAACUCCGUGCCAGCAGCCGCGGUAAUACGGAGGGUGCAAGCGUUAUCCGGAUUCACUGGGUUUAAAGGGUGCGUAGGUGGGCAGGUAAGUCAGUGGUGAAAUCUCCGGGCUUAACUCGGAAACUGCCAUUGAUACUAUCUGUCUUGAAUACCGUGGAGGUCAGCGGAAUAUGUCAUGUAGCGGUGAAAUGCUUAGAUAUGACAUAGAACACCAAUUGCGAAGGCAGCUGGCUACACGAAUAUUGACACUGAUGCACGAAAGCGUGGGGAUCAAACAGGAUUAGAUACCCUAGUAGUCC
Molecule: ribosomal RNA, 799 nt
Filed under: uncultured bacterium
Lineage: Bacteria
Description: bacterial SSU rRNA
Rfam family: Bacterial small subunit ribosomal RNA
Source: RNAcentral